RNAcentral lists this ribosomal RNA (468 nucleotides) under uncultured bacterium. RNAcentral describes it as "partial 16S ribosomal RNA". It matches the Rfam family "Bacterial small subunit ribosomal RNA", at positions 28 to 507 of the family's 1533-position model. The record is from RNAcentral.
GACGAACGCUGGCGGCGUGCUUAACACAUGCAAGUCGAACGGAAAGGCCCUGCUUUUGUUGGGUGCUCGAGUGGCGAACGGGUGAGUAACACGUGAGUAACCUGCCCUUGACUCUGGGAUAACUUCAGGAAACUGGGGCUAAUACCGGAUAGGAGCUCCUGCUGCAUGGUGGGGGUUGGAAAGUUUCGGCGGUUGGGGAUGGACUCGCGGCUUAUCAGCUUGUUGGUGGGGUAGUGGCUUACCAAGGCUUUGACGGGUAGCCGGCCUGAGAGGGUGACCGGCCACAUUGGGACUGAGAUACGGGCCAGACUCCUACGGGAGGCAGCAGUGGGGAAUAUUGCACAAUGGGCGGAAGCCUGAUGCAGCAACGCCGCGUGCGGGAUGACGGCCUUCGGGUUGUAAACCGCUUUCGCCUGUGACGAAGCGUGAGUGACGGUAAUGUGUAAAGAAGCACCGGCUAACUACGUG